CCCAGUAAACGGCGGCCGUAACUAUAACGGUCCUAAGGUAGCGAAAUUCCUUGUCGGGUAAGUUCCGACCCGCACGAAAGGUGUAACGAUUUGGGCACUGUCUCAACGAGGGACCCGGUGAAAUUGAAGUACCUGUGAAGAUGCAGGUUACCCGCGACUGGACAGAAAGACCCCAUGGAGCUUUACUGCAACCUAAGAUUGAACUUAGUUAAUGAAUGUACAGGAUAGGUGGGAGACUUAGAACCUAGGACGCCAGUUUUAGGGGAGUCGCUGUUGGGAUACCACCCUUUCAUUAAUUGAUUUCUAACGGGCCGAGUAACGACCGGCCGGACAGUCUUAGGCGGGCAGUUUGACUGGGGCGGUCGCCUCCUAAAGAGUAACGGAGGCGCCCAAAGGUUCCCUCAGAGCGGACGGAAAUCGCUCGAAGAGUGUAAAGGCAGAAGGGAGCUUGACUGCGAGACGGACAGGUCGAGCAGGGACGAAAGUCGGGCUUAGUGAUCCGGUGGUGCCGAGUGGAAGGGCCAUCGCUCAACGGAUAAAAGCUACCCUGGGGAUAACAGGCUAAUCUCUCCCAAGAGUCCAUAUCGACGGGGAGGUUUGGCACCUCGAUGUCGGCUCAUCACAUCCUGGGGCUGAAGUAGGUCCCAAGGGUUCGGCUGUUCGCCGAUUAAAGUGGUACGUGAGCUGGGUUCAGAACGUCGUGAGACAGUUCGGUCCCUAUCCAUCGCGGGCGCAAGAAACUUGAAGGGGGCUGCUCCUAGUACGAGAGGACCGGAGUGGACGAACCGCUGGUGUACCAAUUAUCCUGCCAAGGGUACAGUUGGGUAGCUACGUUCGGGACGGAUAAACGCUGAAAGCAUCUAAGCGUGAAACCAGCCUUGAGAUGAGGUUUCUCAUAGCAUAAGCUAGUAAGAUCCCAUGUAGACGACAUGGUAGAUAGGCCAGGUGUGGAAGAGCCGUGAGGUUUGGAGCUGACUGGUACUAAUCGAUCGAGGGCUUUACUUA
This 1005-nucleotide ribosomal RNA is filed under the name human gut metagenome. RNAcentral's name for it is "bacterial LSU rRNA". It matches the Rfam family "Bacterial large subunit ribosomal RNA", at positions 1919 to 2925 of the family's 2925-position model. The record is from RNAcentral.